This is a long non-coding RNA of Xiphias gladius (swordfish), 1334 nucleotides long. RefSeq lists it as uncharacterized. The record is from RefSeq and is a predicted model, not a curated record. The transcript is spliced from 3 exons. NCBI's taxonomy places the organism in Eukaryota, Metazoa, Chordata, Actinopteri, Istiophoriformes, Xiphiidae.
UGCGCGUUUAUGGGGCGGCCCCUAUGGUCGCGGUCCAGCCGGAAACACUAAAUGUGUAUCGCAAGUAUUGUGGGAAGUUUAGAGCAGAGCUAAAAGAUACGAUGAUUACAGUCCGUUUUCCCAUCCAGAGUGAAGACUGAGUGAAAGCCAGAUGAUUCUGUGUUGCUGGCUAUCGUCAUAAAUAUGUUGCACGGGUAACCCCUUUUGCAUCCAGAUGGUUACAAGAGUCUUUGAGGAUUCUCAAAAUACCAUCAGAACAGCAGGAUCUUCGUCACAGCCCGUGAUUUUCCUGCUAUGACAAGUCAAAACGCCUGCGGUGAAAAAGGUCUGUUACGCAGGUUUACAGAGAGACACGGGAACUGACUCAUCAUCAAUUAUAUAACUUUUACCAGUGCUUUUUUCUGCUAUGAGGACUCAAAACAUGUGAUGUUAAGAAAAGUCUGUCAGCACAUGGACUUUGGUGUCAUCACGUCAUCCCCAGUUUAGCUCCACAAAACUUCAACCUGAGCAGAUACCUAAUCAGCCACAAUAAGUGAGAAAACCUGUGUGAGUGUGCAGGGCCUUGAAUGUAAAGUAGUUAUUCACAUUUCAGACAUAUAUGAUAGCCUUUAAAAGGAACAGGUCAGAUUUACAGACAGGUAGAAAUGUCAUGAAUAGCUUUAAUAUGUUUGUAAGUGCAGUGUGACAGUACAUCAUUGAGGCCCAAACGAUACUGCAUAUACAGGUGUGGCUUACUGUAUUUUGACUAAUAAGACCUCCUCACAGGACCAUGUGGGCAGGUACAAAAUGUGCUUGAUUGACAUCUCACUGACUGUCUCAUUAGUAUUGUUGCACCUGAUUAGGUGGGACAAAUUCAUGUAAUUUAACAUUUGUUUCAAUCGUAAUUACGAGAAAGUGGAAAAGGAGGAGGAGGAAUUGGAAAAACUGUUCACGUCAGCCUCCAACUUGUAAUUCAGAGUUGGGCAUAUGGGGAAUUUCUGACACCGACAGUAUCUCCCAUGUGAUGAAAAGAAAACCGCACCACUGCUGGUAGUUGCACAAAAAUAAAAUCGAAUAUGAACUCUAAUACAAUCCAUAGUGCGUAUUUAAGCUAUACACUGUUUUUGUAUCUCCUUUCGCCUUGGUAAUGAACUGCCAGAAGUUAAUUUACACUGUUUAUCUGGUGCGUCUACAAGGUUAGCACUUGGGCUAACCACCUUUGCAUAAUGAGAGAGUUUUUCCCAUUCUUCCCAUUCUGGUGACAUUGUGUGAAUGCAUCAUUAUCCCCUAUAUUAAGAUACAUUACAUUUCUUACCAACGAAUAUUCACCCCAUUUGCAUAUCCAUACGCAUAUG